This 468-nucleotide ribosomal RNA is filed under the name uncultured bacterium. RNAcentral's name for it is "partial 16S ribosomal RNA". It matches the Rfam family "Bacterial small subunit ribosomal RNA", at positions 28 to 507 of the family's 1533-position model. The record is from RNAcentral.
GACGAACGCGGGCGGGGGGCUUAACACAUGCAAGUCGAACGGAAAGGCCCUGCUUUUGUGGGGUGCUCGAGUGGCGAACGGGUGAGUAACACGUGAGUAACCUGCCCUUGACUUUGGGAUAACUUCAGGAAACUGGGGCUAAUACCGGAUAGGAGCUCCUGCUGCAUGGUGGGGGUUGGAAAGUUUCGGCGGUUGGGGAUGGACUCGCGGCUUAUCAGCUUGUUGGUGGGGUAGUGGCUUACCAAGGCUUUGACGGGUAGCCGGCCUGAGAGGGUGACCGGCCACAUUGGGACUGAGAUACGGCCCAGACUCCUACGGGAGGCAGCAGUGGGGAAUAUUGCACAAUGGGCGGAAGCCUGAUGCAGCAACGCCGCGUGCGGGAUGACGGCCUUCGGGUUGUAAACCGCUUUCGCCUGUGACGAAGCGUGAGUGACGGUAAUGGGUAAAGAAGCACCGGCUAACUACGUG